GCCCAAUAAAACUUUAUGCCGGGAAGGGUUUAUGUUCAAAAUGAUUUACCGCCGAAGGAGGGGACUGCGGCCAAUCUUUUUGUUGGGGAGGUAAGGCCCCACCAAAAUAAUAACAGGUCCGGGUUCUAAAAGAAGUACCCCGAAGAUGGUUACUGAAAAACGGACCCAGGCCCUAUGGGGCCCAGCAGGAAAAAAAAUUUUGCAUGGUGCAAAAGAACAACAAGGUUAAUCCAAUUGUUUUCUGCUAAAAAAACUUUUUGUCAUUCCAAAAAACAUUGAUAAAUAAGGGGGGGGCAAUUUCUGGUGCCACCCGCCGCGGAAAAACCACCCCCUCAGGUGGUCAGGAUAAUUAUGGGCCCUAAACCAUCCGUAGCCGGUUCUGUAAUUUUUCGGUUAAAUCUGUCCCCUCAACGAACAGGCUGCCGGAAAUACUGCAAAGCUAGGGAGUGGAAAAGGUAAACGGUACUCGGAAGGAAGGGAAAAAAUCUUUUGAUUUAUUGAUAACCACUGGUGGCGAAGGCGGUCUACAAAAACCCGUCCAACGGGGAGGAAUAAAAGCUGGGGAACCAAACCGAAUUAAAUACCCGGUUACCCCCAGCU
RNAcentral lists this ribosomal RNA (600 nucleotides) under uncultured crenarchaeote. RNAcentral describes it as "partial 16S ribosomal RNA". It matches the Rfam family "Archaeal small subunit ribosomal RNA", at positions 151 to 752 of the family's 1478-position model. The record is from RNAcentral. Lineage: Archaea; Thermoproteati; Thermoproteota.